This 181-nucleotide transfer RNA is filed under the name Candidatus Aenigmatarchaeota archaeon. Its description in RNAcentral is "tRNA-Val". The record is from RNAcentral. Lineage: Archaea; Nanobdellati; Candidatus Aenigmatarchaeota.
GGGCCGGUGGUCUAGCGGCUAUCAACAACCGUAUAUGACGCCGCCCUUACAAGGCGGAAAUCGCAAGUUCGAUAAUGAAUUGACACAAAACGAAACGAUGAGAAACUGAUUGACGAGCUUUGCUCGUCUGUUCCUUUCUUGUCAACGUGUUUUGUGUCCAUCGAAUGUCUUGCCCGGCCCA